Molecule: ribosomal RNA, 228 nt
Filed under: uncultured bacterium
Lineage: Bacteria
Description: partial 16S ribosomal RNA
Rfam family: Bacterial small subunit ribosomal RNA
Source: RNAcentral
CGGGUGAGUAAUGCUUGGGAAUCUAGCUUAUGGAGGGGGAUAACUACGGGGAACUGUAGCUAAUACCGCGUAGUAUCGGAAGAUGAAAGUGUGGGACCUUCGGGCCACAUGCCAUAGGAUGAGCCCAAGUGGGAUUAGGUAGUUGGUGAGGUAAAGGCUCACCAAGCCGACGAUCUCUAGCUGGUCUGAGAGGAUGACCAGCCACACUGGGACUGAGACACGGCCCAG